GGGUUGAUUCCUGAAGCACCCAAGUCAAUAGCUGUGACAUUAUGCCCUGAAGAUCUCAUCAAUGCCACAAUCUUGUACCAGGACCAGGCUCCAUGGCAUGGUCUAUGAACUAGCACAAAGUGCUUCUUAGCUUUAGGGAUUGACAAGGUUGCAUUUGCAUAUGGCAACAAAAGUAUUACAACUACUAGACUUGUUAAAAACUUGCUUUUCUCCAUAUAUUUUUUUCCUUCUUUAGAACAAUAGCCACAUAAUAUGAACCAUUACAAGGGUAGCUUUAUAAUCCGAGGAGUUUGGUAUCUGCUGACUUACUUCCAUGCACAAGCAAUCCCACUUUGGCAAUUGUUUGAGUAAAUGGGCAAGCAAUGUAGUAAGGGGCUGGUGGAGAUUGUGGCCUCUCUAUUAGUAGUCAUUCCUGGUCUAUGAAUCCACAUCAAUUCAUCUAAGAGUUGGGCUGAUUUUGACCAACUAUGUAAUCCAUAGACCAUGGAAGUAGUGAGAUCGCCAUAUAAAUGCAUAAGAUAUGUGAAUUGACUCAAUUCUAUUCUCAGCCUUACACAUGUACACCUUAUUCUUCUUAUUAACAGCUGUUAUUUGAGUCAUUUGAUUUUUAACUUACUUCCACGCAGAAGCAACCUCAAGUUGGCUACUCUUUCAACAAGUGGUCAAGCAAUGUAGUAAGGGCUGGUGCAACUUGCAAGCCUGGGGAUUUCUGCCAUGAUUGAAAUGUCAAAUUAAAAGUUGGAAUAACAUUUCAGUGUCACUUUAAUCCGUCGUUCACAAGACCAGAGGACAUCUUGAACAGAUUUUUCAUGAAUCAUUGCAUUCAUUAGAUUACUAUCUUACAUCACCUAAAUAUAUUAGAAUUUUAUAAACAACUCCAAAUCGAAACAUUUGAACACGUUAUGUAUUAUAUAUAUGGUGGUCUAAAUGACAGUUACCGAAGUGAAACAGUGUUCACUACAAAAAAAAAAAGAAGGUGAAUUAAUGGAGGUUUAAUUGUGGGAAUUGUCAUUGUUGACACCCAAUUUUGGACCUCCACAAUAUAAAUUAAUCAUCGAGCUUCUUCAAUUUCGAACGAUUUGAAAUAAUUAGUUCUAGAAAAUUUCAAAAAUAAAUAAUAAUAAUAAUAAUAAUAAUAGCUUACAGGUUAUUUUAAAUAUUUUGUCACUUUUGGAAUUUUUAAAUAUUAAAUAUAUCUUUAGAUAAUUUUGUUUAUGGUCAGUAUAUUUUAUAAAUAUUCAAAAAUUGUCUCAAAAUGUUUUGUUUUUAUUAAAUAUUUGGUUAAUUAGUUUAAUUAUUCAAUAGUUUAUAUUUUCGAGUUAUUAGUCUAUAUUUGAGUCAAUUAUUUUAAGUUUGUUAAAAUUAAGAAGCUCGUUAAUUAAUUUUUAAUAAUUCAUCCUAUUUAAGAUUUUAGCCGAAGUCGCAAAUUAAAUUCAAUUUAGCUAUAUCUAUUUACGAUUUUAGCCAUUUUCUUUCACAUCCUUUCAAACCUUUAAGAAACCAAUAUUGAGCCCUCUUCUCCCAAUUUUUCAGCAAAAUAAUGACCCAUUUCCAGCCGACCCAAUUCCUAAUAACAGACCCAGGCCCAAUUUUCAUUAUCCCAAUUCAUAUCCCAGCCCACUUCAGGCAAACCAUACAUCAGAAAAUACCCGGCCACCCCACCCCUGUACUCGCGUCUUCUUCCUCAAUACAACGAGCAAAACCCAGAAAAUGCGAGAAACAGUCCGCCGAAACCCAAAUCGAACCCAGACGCGACCCAGCAGCCCAUUAAAUCUAUCCAAUCGCGCGUGUCCUCGUCCACUCCUCUCGUUCUUAUCCGUUCGUACGAGAGUAUUCUCGAAUCUAUAGGUGUUUCCAUCUCAUGUGUUCUUCGUCCUUCCUUCAAAAUCGGACGGCUCCCUUCUUUAAUCCGUUGAGAAUGGUACGAAUUCCAGCUCCUCAACCUUAUCCUUUGAGAGCAAUUUGAAUUUCAAAUUCGAAAUCCCUCCCGAUUUCCCUCUAAAACAACCCUAAGUUUCUCCUAUAAAUUCAUCCUCCCUCUCCUUUGUUAAGGGUUAGAUUUUGGAAAAUUUAUUAAAGAAAUCAGUUUAGGCGAGAAUAAUGAUAUACGAAAUACACUAAGGAAACCAGAGGUGAAUAGGAGAUAACUAAUUCUAGUCCAAGUUCCAUUCUUCCAUUUUUGCCUGCCACAAGUUCGUUCGAGAUUCCAGCUGAAAUUUGGAAAUAAUCUUGACUUGCUCUUAGUUCAAAAUCAGUGGUGUUUCUUUGUUUUGUGUAUUUAAAUUUUCUGGUUCGUUUGGUUAGAAGUCUUGCUGACUCUAUGUAGUUCUGAGUUGUUCUUCUCUCUAUUUUCUUAUCGUUUCACUGAUAAUCUUGUUGGUUGGUUGUGGGUUAGUGUGAUUGUGAAUUUUCUGAAUCUAGAAUGCUAAUCCUCACAAUCCGUUAUGCGGUGGUUGUUUCAUUUCAUUUAGCUAGCGUGAAUCAUAUAGAUUGAGUAGUUUUACCUCUUCUUUCGUGGUGUUUGUUAUAGCCAUGUUUCAUUUUGAUAGUACGGUUCAUAUAUUAGCUAUUUACAGCUUUAAAAUCUUAUUCGUAAUAGUAUCAAUCGUAAUAGUGUCGAUUUAUCUUAAGUCCAUCUUAGUUCAACUAAGUUUUAAAAAAUGAAUUGGUAAAUUGUUGGAAUGUUAACUUGGGUCAGUGUGUUUUGUCCCAUUUUUUACUACUCUAAGUUGGUUUGAUUGUAUUCUUUUCCCCACACUUCCGUCGUGCAUCAUGAUAAGUUUUUUGAAGUUUCAAUUGAAUGUCUCCAUGUUUUUUUUUAAACCUCAUCAUAACGUUAUGUUUGUAAAAAAAAUAAAAAAAAAUGAAUUUUGGUUGUCCUAUAUUUUAGCAAAGCAGUAGCUUAGUUUUUGCUCUUAGUUAUGACUUGCGUGUUAGUAUUAAUCAAAGUCUGCUAUAUUUUUGCUCUUACGGUGUUGUUGGACCCAUGAAUUUGUUCUUGCUUUAUUUAUUUAUUUUAAACUUUUGUUCCAGUAAUAGUAUUAGAUAGAAGACAAUUCCAGUAGCUUGCUUUUAUCCAAAUUGAUAAUUGUUUUUCUUAUUCUUGUCCAACAAUUGUGCAUGCCGCCUUUUCCAUGUGAUCACUGCCCCUUUUUUUUAUUUUAUAUAUAUAUAUAUUUAUUUUAUUUAUUUAUCACCCUCAUUUAGUGUUAUCUUGUCAUGUGAGGUUAGAUUAAAUCUAAGUGAAGAUUCUUUUAAGUAUUGUGUGCAUUCCUUUGUCAUUCUUGUAUAACCGUGCUAUAGUAAACUAAGCGCAUGUAUUUAUGCCUUAUUUCUAUUUUAUGUGUCUUGGUUGCAUUAUAUAGAUUUAAAGUGUGCUUUAUUUUUAAUCUCUACCUUGUUUCAUUUUUUUCUAUGUAUGAACCGGCUCCACCCGAGUCCUUGGAGACUCUUUGAUCUUGUAUUUCGUUGGUUAGGGGCCCAAUUCUAUCUUCUAUCGAGUCAGCCAGCAGGAAAUGGAAGUAAAGGGGUUGGAAAUUGGAAUUUCAGAUUCCAAGAAGGCCCAAAAGAAAGGCUGAAUAUGCUUGUUGUAUAUAUGGGUAUACAAUACAAUAUACAGGCCCAAUAUGGUGAUAUGCAGGAGCUGAAAAUGCAUAAACAAGGCCCUAAAAUUUCAAGUGUAAAUGGGCCCAAGAAAGGGGCCCAAAAGAAAUUCCGGCAGCAGAAUCAUGAAUUAAAUAGGCCCAAACCAUUGUAUUGGGUUACUUUUAGAUUUAGGACAGGUUCAUGAAUUUGGAUCAAAGGCCCAAAUUUGAUAUUUCCUUCGUUUGCUCUUUAUUUGUUAUUGACCAACACUUUUGGUUUAACUUAAUUAAUUUCCCAAAAAUAGUCGUUUCUCUUUAUAUUCAAAAGUUAAAAUAUUUGUUUUACUUAUAAAUAUAUUUUAUUUAUUAUCUAGCUCUAUUUUAUCAUUAGUCUUGUCAACACUUAUGUUACUUCCCUUUAGAAUAAUCCCCUUUAGUAUAUUUCCCCUUAAAAAAUAAUUAAUUAGAAACAUAAUAGUAAUAAAUAAAUAAAUAAAAUAAAUGAGUUCUUUUAUUUAGUUAAAGUCAUUUUUGUCAAAUCGCCGAUCAACUGCAAGUUAGCGGACAUUCCGAGGGCCUAACACCUUUUCGAAAUAUACAUUGAACUCGAACCCUUUUUCAAUUGAUUUUAUCUGUUUGAGUCUUUUGAAAACUUUAAGUUUUUUCUUGAUUUUUACCAAAAAAAUUAAGUAACGACUCUGUUCUUUUGGAAUCGAUUUCUCUUAAAUCAUAAGUUUAAUCGAUUUUUCGAAACAAGUUAUUUUCCUUUUAUUUAUUUUUUUGAGUCAAACAGUCAUAACCUCUACAAAAUUAUAUUAAAUAUGGACUACAUUAGCCUCCACUAAUUUUUACUAUUAAACUUGCAGGCUCUUAACCUUCGUCAUUUUUUUAAAAAAAAUAUAGCGCCAGAAAUUGUUUUUUCCCUCAUUUUAUAAUCCUUUUCACUAGUUUUUUUAUACCAAAAAUACCCUUUUGACUUUGUAGUAGCCAAUUAUACUCGCUCAUUCUCUGGCUCUCUCAAAUCACUUCAGUGAAAAUCACAGCAAAUCACAAUUUCUUUCAUGAAUCUCAUCCGUCCUCAUCUUUCAUUUCUUAGGCUCUGUAGAAAUUAGUGACAUUGGUUAGCUGUAGAAAUUAAUUUUGAGUUUAAAUUUUCCUAUUAUGUUUUGCCAGAAAUUUUUUGACUUCUUCAAAUAUUGGAUACGAAUCUAUUGACGUAAGGUAUUCUUCUUUCUUAUUCUAAUUUACAUUUUCUUUCAUCUUGCAUGUGUGUUUUAAAUUUAUUUUCUCCUGUUACAUUUGAAUGUGUACGAAACAUUUGUUUUUCCUUCACUUAUUCUAGGGAUUCUCAUUUCUUCUUUAUGUAUGUGGCUGAUAUUAGUUUUUUCUCUUUUGUUUUGGUAUAUUGAUGAAUUUUGAAAGUACUUUUGAAUUGUGGUUUUGUAAUCCCAAAUUUUCUCAGCUAUUUGAGAUGUAGUUUCGAAUUGUGGUUGGUCGUUUUGGCCUAGCGUUUCUGCCUAGGUUUUUUUUGUGCUCGCUCUCCUUCGGCAAUGAGAAGUAGAGAUAGAAAAUGGAGGAUAGAGAGGAUGAGUGAAAAUUUUGAAUGUUGAAAAUGGAACAAACUGUUGAGUCAUGUUUCCUAGAUAUUUUGCAGCUUUUCAGCUCUAUUAGUUGUUAAAUGCUAUUGAACCAGUCGUUACUUGAUUUUCUUUUCGAUUUCCCAUUUAUGAACUUAAUGUGGUUGUUGUAUACGAGCCAAAUUUCUACAAGUUUCUAGGUUGUAGUUAACCACAUUACAUUCUGUCUCUCGUUCAGUUGUAUGGUGGUUCAUAUACUCGAGAAGAGAUAAAUGCUUUACUGGAUCUCUUGAGUUACUUGCUUAGAUUUUACCAUUCACUUUGUUCUGGUUGUAUAUUGAGUUAUUGGGAUUAAAUAACUGAUAUUGAGUCCAUAUUUGAGCUGUAUAUAUCAACUUAGUAUUGUGAAGCUCAUACUGUCACAUGUUACAUUGCAACCAACUUAGUGCUUUUUGCAUUUUUUUCAGUUUUCCUAUGAGAUGUUCAUGUAUGUGUGCUUUUAUACCUUAUUAUCCCAUAAUAUUAAUACAAGUAACUUUUCGCUUGUUGUUUUGUACCUGCGUAUAUCCUGUUUUUGCAAGCCGAAAGGGUCCUAAUUGAAAAUAAAUUACAUCUUUAUUUUUGUUUUGUAUUUUAGUUUAGAAUAUUCUGUUUUAGAGUUUAAUAAUUUCUAGAAAGGACUGGUAGAAGUGUAUAUUCAGGUAAAUUUAGGAAAAUCUGCUUGUCAUGACCCUGUAGCUUAGUGGCUAUUUUAUCUUCAUAUCAAAACAUCUUUCUGUUCAUAAGGCUGUGAGAGUAGAGAUGAUGAAAUUGAGUAAAGGAAUUUUUGCCCCACUUAAACUUUUAGACGUCCUUAUUCUUGCUACUUAUGUAAGAAGCCAUAUAUGCAAUAGACAACCUAACUGGGGUAGAUAUAAAUAAAGAUACUAAAACGGAAAAUGAUCAAAAUGCCUUUAAACUAUGUGAAAUUGAACAAAAAUGUGCCAUUAAGACAUUUCUACCUAUUAAGAUUCAAUUGGACUGUCACUUGUGGUAUCACCCUUAUGAGAUGUUGAAGACCUGUCAACCGAAAACUCUAAGAAGGCCUCAUCAACAAAGUACAAAGCUAUUUAAACUUUUAAUUAGAAUGUAAGACUUUUAUAUUUCUUAUAGGUAUGUCUGUAACAUUUGAAUAGUACAGAAGGAUAUCUGAAUUAUUUUUCAUCUUCAGGAAUUUGAAAAUUUUGCCUUUAAUUUUUAUUUUACAACUCAAUAAAUUUUUCGAUAGUAUUAGUUUGAUUAUCUCUAAACAGUUUAUACCAUUCACAUUGGGUACACGUGCAACGAGUCUCUCCAGAUCGAGACUACUAAUUGGACUAAAAUUCAAUAGUUAUAGGGAAUAGAGGUCGUUCAUUGAUGUCAAUUCCAAACACUGAAAUUACAAUGAAAGGAAAUUAAUUAGCACGGUGAUAGAACGUCCGUGAAAGAACUAAGAUCUCCAUAUCAAUGCAUCAGAUAUGAAGUUUUAUUCUCAAGCCUUGCACCUAUUCCCCUUGUUUACAUCCCUACUUUAUUCAAAUAGGGCAAAACGUCGUGGUGAUUCAAAAAAUAAACAAUUGAAUCAAUUUUAAAAGAAUUUCAAGAAUAAACGAAUUUUAAAAGAAUCGCCACCUAAUUUAGGAAAACUAGGAAACCAAUUAAAUGAUCUAUGAAACCAAGAGAUUUUAGGUAAGGGGUUCAAAUUAUUCCGAAAGAAAGGUGUUAGGCUUCCUUCGAAAUACACAAUUGUGGGUCCCGACUGAAUUAUCUUUUCAAAUUGAGUAGGAGAUAAAAACAAAUAUACAAGUACAAUCAACAUGCAAUAUACACAAAUAAUAAAAUAAAAAUAAUAAUGUAAGAAUCGACCUAAGGUUUGCCUAACAUCAAUAUAUACAAAAUGAUGCAUGAAGUAUAUAAUUCGAAUAAUUUCAUUGGGAAGCAACUCCGGGUACUUGUAAAGACACUUUGUAAAAGUGUUAGUACUAAAUAAAUAUGAAUAAAAAUAAAUGAAUUAAAUAAUAACGUAAAAACAAAAAACCGUCUUAUUAACAUGGGAGGACUUGGAAAUCGACGGUAAUUAGUUGUCCUUAAUUGCUUGUCCAUUUUGACAAAUCAAGAAAGAAUAAAAUUUUUUUACCUAUUAUACCCUCAAUUAAUUACUUUGAAAAAGGUAGAACUUCUUGAAAAUCUUAAGUUUUAAUUCAUCCACUUCAUAAUUAAUAGGGGUAAAAUGAUAACUCAUCAUUUUAAUUAUUACUUUCUUAAUAGGUGUGUCAAUUCAAAAGUAGACAAGUAAUUAGGGAUAGAGAGAAUAACAUAUAAUGAAAGAGAAAAACUUAUGGCAUUUGCUCCAUGAAAGAUCAUUCAAUCGUCCAUAUCAAAGUACGUAAAGUUUUUCCUUUUAUUUUUCAGUGUGUAAUUGGUAACAGAGAUAGAUAAAAGGUGUAAGGAACUUGACUUACCUUGUCCUACACUUGAACUAAAAUUCAGUAAUUAUAGGAAAUUUAUUGAUGUCAAUUCCAAACACUAUGAUGGAAAUAUCAAAUUAACUAAGACUUGUAUGGAAGAACUGAGAUCCCCAUAUCAAUGCAUUAGAAGUGUCAAUUGACUGAAGUAAUUUUAUUCUCAGCUUUACACUUAUUCUUCUUAAUUAAUUAACAGCUCUUAGCUAUACUUGUUAGCAAUGCUCUCAAGUGUAGUAAAAAGUUGAAGGGGCUUAGACAUCAUGGUCAUGUGAUCAGAGCCUUGGAUCACUUCCACUUCACCUGGUGGAUUCUUUUCAAUCAUCCUCUUCUGAAUUUCCUUCUUCAGAAGGUUAUCAUCAGCAGCAACAAUGAAUACUCUCCUAACUGAUCCAUACCUUUUUCUCGAAAGAACUAUCUCCAUAGAAACAUCUUUCACACUGUACAAGUAUACUGGCCUUACUAGUGUAGUGGCCAGUGCCAAAUCCUAACACCAACAAGGAAAAAAAAAGACUUAAAUCAGUUUCAUGUCAAUGUUCCGGUUAAGUACUCAAGUAAGUCUAUAAUUUGGAGAAACUAGUUAAAAUCUCCUUAUUGGUGAUACCUACAAAUUAUUUUUUGCAAAGGAAGUCAUUAAUCACUUUAGGUCCAUUCACUUGACAAGAAUAACAGAACUUGGCUAUUUCAAUUAUAUAUUUGUAUUAUGCUUUGCUUACCUGAAUUGGGCUCUUAUCGUAAAGCUUAACUGCCAAGUAUUUGGGACCAUAACUCAAGGUUGUUGGAGGAUUAGUAGGUCCAUUAUCAUAAGCAACACGAUUAUCAAGUGAAGUUAAUACACCAGUUUCUGCCAAGAGCUGUAACAAAGUAUAUUUAGCUACAAAUAUAUAUGUGAAACUGUAACCAAACAUAACAUAUCAUCUCAUGGUUAAAGUUAAAAAAUGCAUAUGAAAAAUUGGUACCUCGGUGUAGAGGGUGGCCGUUGCAUUGAGAGUUAGACCAGGCAUUAGAGCAGUAACAAAUACAGCAACUGAAAUCUUUUCUGGAAAGCUUUCCAUGGCCUUAGAAAUGGCCAAACCACCAAAUUCAUGGCCUACAAGAACCACUUUUUCAUGUGCAGGAAGAGAAGACAUCAACUCCAUUAGAGGACUCAAGUAAUCGGAAAAAUGUGGGAUUUCAAGGGCCUGUUUCGGGUUGAUUCCUGAAGCACCCAAGUCAAGAGCUGUGACAUUAUGCCCUGAAGAUCUCAUCAAUGACACAAUCUUGUACCAGGACCAGGCUCCAUGGCAUGGUCUAUGAACUAGCACAAAGUGCUUCUUAGCUUUAGGGAUUGACAAGGUUGCAUUUGCAUAUGGCAACACAAGUAUUACAACUACUAGACUUGUUAAAAACUUGCUUUUCUCCAUAUAUUUUUUUUCCUUCUUUAGAAGAAUAGCCACAUAAUAUGAACCAUUACAAGGGUAGCUUUAUAAUCCGAGGAGUU
RNAcentral lists this long non-coding RNA (9121 nucleotides) under Solanum tuberosum (potato). RNAcentral describes it as "long non-coding RNA (STUB_LNC002438)". Lineage: Eukaryota; Viridiplantae; Streptophyta; Magnoliopsida; Solanales; Solanaceae. The record is from RNAcentral.